RNAcentral lists this non-coding RNA (117 nucleotides) under Papio anubis (olive baboon). Lineage: Eukaryota; Metazoa; Chordata; Mammalia; Primates; Cercopithecidae. RNAcentral also lists the same sequence under 1 other name. The record is from Rfam by way of RNAcentral.
GCCGGGCGCGGUGGCUUACGCCUGUAAUCCCAGCGAUUUGGGAGGCCGAGGCGGGUGGAUCACCUGAGGUCAGGAGUUCGAGACCAGCCUGACCAACAUGGUGAAACCCUGUCUCUA